GUGGAUGGAAAGGAUUUCGAGACGAUGUGAAAAUUGCCAGGAACAAAAUCGGGCGUAUCAGACAGUGGAGAAUUUUUUUGCUGAAGAACAAGUUCAUGUCCAUGCUGGACCAGCCGUUGAUGACAGUGCUGAAGCAACAGUUGAUGUUGAUGCCGGCGCAGCAAAUGAUGGCGCUUUGGAGCCCGCACCCGGCAUAGCAGGUCUUGACCCUGUGGGUGGCACCAGACUUGAUCUUCCGUGUGUCAUACAGGUGCGUGGUUGUUCCAGGCUGGUUUUUUACUGAACUUAUCUCUUAUAAAUACUCACCGCUGGCUGGCUUCUGUGUACAAUACUCAAUAGCCUCUAGUAUGAUCGUUGUGCGGCUAAUGACAUUUUUAUGUGCGUCUCUGACUCGUUGCAGCCGAAAAAUGAGCCCUGUGUGACAUCAGAGCAUGCUGUCUACUCCUCUAGUUUCCCACAUGCACACUAUAUAACUUAAAUGUUGUGUUUGCCGCAUUUCUGUCAUAUUCCACCUAUUACCAUGUUGAAUUAUGCGUGAAAUAUACUGUUGCUAGGGCCGUUGCUAAGGACGCCAUUGUUGCCGUCAUUUGGAAUUUUGAAAAAAAACUUUUAUGUUC
Molecule: long non-coding RNA, 617 nt
Organism: Sycon ciliatum
Lineage: Eukaryota; Metazoa; Porifera; Calcarea; Leucosolenida; Sycettidae
Exons: 2
Source: RefSeq, a predicted model, not a curated record